Molecule: ribosomal RNA, 450 nt
Filed under: Triticum aestivum (bread wheat)
Lineage: Eukaryota; Viridiplantae; Streptophyta; Magnoliopsida; Poales; Poaceae
Description: partial small subunit ribosomal RNA
Source: RNAcentral
AUGUGGAGGAACAUGGACGCACAGGGCGCGCCAGGGCAUGCACGCAUGUGCGAGGGCUCAGCGAAGUGGACGGACCGAACAUGCACGCACCAGGUCGCAGUGUACGUAGUACCGUCAUCGGCGCGCCCCGGCCGGUUAGUCGAGCAGCAUGCGCCGUUUACAGGCACGCAGCCAAUCCGUGUCAUGCAUGUGGCACUAGCAGUAACACUGUGCAAUAUCUAUGCACGUACAGCAUCAGCGUACAGAGGCUGUGCAGUGUACGCCCGUAGAUACAGAGCACCGAUCACAUGCCCGCCGCUGCAAGCAGUGAAACAGGAACGGGCGGACGUACAGAAGCUAGGGAGCAAGCGCGUCGCGCUCGUCGACGGCAGACAGGCGCACGCACGGUGCCGCGCUCGCGGGGCCGGCCGGGCCGGGCGUCGACCAUGUGAACGAGGCAGGAUAGGAUAA